Molecule: ribosomal RNA, 429 nt
Filed under: Bacillota bacterium
Lineage: Bacteria; Bacillati; Bacillota
Description: Firmicutes bacterium partial 16S ribosomal RNA
Rfam family: Bacterial small subunit ribosomal RNA
Source: RNAcentral
UAGGGAAUCUUCGGCAAUGGACGGAAGUCUGACCGAGCAACGCCGUGCGAGUGAAGAAGGUUUUCGGAUCGUAAAGCUCUGUUGUUAGAGAAGAACGUUGGUAGGAGUGGAAAAUCUACCAAGUGACGGUAACUAACCAGAAAGGGACGGCUAACUACGUGCCAUCAGCCGCGGUAAUACGUAGGUCCCGAGCGUUGUCCGGAUUUAUUGGGCGUAAAGCGAGCGCAGGCGGUUCUUUAAGUCUGAAGUUAAAGGCAGUGGCUUAACCAUUGUACGCUUUGGAAACUGGAGGACUUGAGUGCAGAAGGGAAGAGUGGAAUUCCAUGUGUAGCGGUGAAAUGCGUAGAUAUAUGGAGGAACACCGGUGGCGAAAGCGGCUCUCUGGUCUGUAACUGACGCUGAGGCUCGAAAGCGUGGGGAGCAAACAGG